UAGGGAAUCUUCCGCAAUGGGCGAAAGCUUGCCGGAGCAACGCCGCGGGAGUGAUGAAGGUCUUCGGAUCGUAAAACUCUGUUAUUAGGGAAGAACAAAUGUGUAAGUAACUAUGCACGUCUUGACGGUACCUAAUCAGAAAGCCACGGCUAACUACGUGCCAGCAGCCGCGGUAAUACGUAGGUGGCAAGCGUUAUCCGGAAUUAUUGGGCGUAAAGCGCGCGUAGGCGGUUUUUUAAGUCUGAUGUGAAAGCCCACGGCUCAACCGUGGAGGGUCAUUGGAAACUGGAAAACUUGAGUGCAGAAGAGGAAAGUGGAAUUCCAUGUGUAGCGGUGAAAUGCGCAGAGAUAUGGAGGAACACCAGUGGCGAAGGCGACUUUCUGGUCUGUAACUGACGCUGAUGUGCGAAAGCGUGGGGAUCAAACAGG
RNAcentral lists this ribosomal RNA (429 nucleotides) under Actinomycetes bacterium. Its description in RNAcentral is "Actinobacteria bacterium partial 16S ribosomal RNA". It matches the Rfam family "Bacterial small subunit ribosomal RNA", at positions 355 to 776 of the family's 1533-position model. Lineage: Bacteria; Bacillati; Actinomycetota; Actinomycetes. The record is from RNAcentral.